Molecule: non-coding RNA, 2927 nt
Organism: Camellia sinensis
Lineage: Eukaryota; Viridiplantae; Streptophyta; Magnoliopsida; Ericales; Theaceae
Source: RefSeq, a predicted model, not a curated record
GGGGGGAAUAUUUGUUUGUGGUUUUAGAUUAUAUUAGGGGUGUCUUUGUAAGACUUGUACCAGUUCGAUGUGUUGUUGUCUCAGAGUUGUGGACCUGCUCUACGUUUGACCCACCCUUAAAGCAUGUUUUGAGGUCCAUAAUUUUGUUUUUUAUAUUCUCAUUAUUAAGUAUAACUCAGUGUUUGUUUUAAAUUUUAAUAUAUUUCACAUUUAAGUUCUCCUCUCUCAUGGAUCUGUAGCAUUGGUCAAUAGCAAUGUUGGGCAGCCUACAUAUGGAGCUGCAGAAGUGCUGUGGUGGCUUGAUAUUGAAACUGAAAUUAUUUUGGAUCAAUUUAAUGUUUGUCGAAGUUUCACUACUAUAUGUCAAGGCACUUUAAAUGCACUGGUAAUUUAUUAGUGGAUAAGUUCUCCUUUUAAUGCUCAGUUUUCUUUGUAUGGAUACUUUAUUUAAUUUGAAGGUUAAAUAAAUAUUCACAGAGACUGUCUCUCUUGUGGUUUAUGUAAAGUAUUGAUAGUAGUCUUGAGAGAUACCCUUAUGACUUGGUAUUGUGCUUAUGGCUAUCUGCUCAUUGUUUGGUACCAUUUUGGAUAAAAAUUUGUAAGGCAUCCGCAAUCAAAGUGGAAGUUUCUUAGAGGCAAAAAUGUUACUUUUUGUCCUUCAAAAUUUAAGAUCACGUCUGUGAGCUCUUUUGAGAAUCUAUUUUGCUUAAAAAUAUGUCAAAUUAUCAUGAUGGUGUAGGACACAAUGCUGCUUUAUGCAAUCAAUAACUACCGGAUCCAUGUGUGUUGAGAUGUUCUAUGCAAUUGGAGAAAUGAUUUGGCUUGAGUGAUGCAUUUGAAACGAAAGGAAUUGCAUACUUUUUGAGGAAGUUGACUUUUUUUCUUUUUUUUUUGGUUACAUCAGAAAGGAGAGGAAGUUGACCUUUGAAACCAUGAUUUUGUACUGGAAAAUGAAACGAAAUUAAUUGUGUGUAAAGUUCUUCCUAGACUUGCGCCUCUGAUAGUAAAUGAAGGGUCAUGCUAUUGAUUUUUAAUACAUUUCAAUACAGUUUUAACGAUAUUACAUUAGCAUUUUCCAGAAAUUAAUAUCUAAUUUUUGCUCCCCCUUGCUUUGCUUAUGAUAUAGCCUAGGCUGAUGAGAGACUCCUGUAGCUCUGGCAAUUUGGUGAACUCGUUGUUCCCCUUGGGGGCACCAGCUAAUUGCAGAAAGCUUUCUGUUUUUUAAAACAUCUAGAUUGAGUUUCCAUUGGUCACUGCAAAAUACAGAUGUUCCCUUUACCAAGCAAUGAUGGAUUGGAUUUAAGUGCUUGAUAUUAUUUCUCUUUCUAGUUCUAUCAAUAUUGGUGACAGAUUGAUUUUGUCCUUUGCUGACCACAUCUCAGGAGCUCACAGUUUGGUCAAUGAUUAUUGGUGGCAUCAGAUGCCUGGUAUAAAAGUUACAACCCUUCACCAAAAUACAGUCUUUAAGUUACUUUUUAUGCUUGUUCUUUUACUGUCAUCUCAAAAACCUGAAAGUUAUCUUGUUGCUGUUGCUGCUUUUAACGGUGGUGUGCUUUCAUGGAUGUAUAUUGCUUCUGACUUUAUCAUUAGGUGCGCUACAUGGGAUCUUGAAUUUUUCAUAACCUGAUGUCUGUUUUCCUUUCUUGAUUAUCAGGAUCAAGUAGCAUUUUAUAGGAACUUCUAGCUCUUCAUCUUGGUAGCUGUGGGAGAUACAUUAAAAUAUGUCUACAGGUUUUCCUUUAUGGUUACGUUCCUUCAUUAGCUAUUCUUAGAUGCAGCUGUAUUAAAUUUAUUCAGAGCAGAUUCUCUUUGUGAUGGUUUUGCAUGGAUAUUUAUGAACCUCGUUUUGUUUUUAUUUUUAUUUUUAUUUUUUUUUUGGGGGGAGGGGGGACUCAGAGAUAUACAACGUCAAAUCUUGGAAGUUUAACGUCAAAUCUUGGAAGCUUGCAGAUCUUAUGAUCCUUGAUCUGAUCCUGUAAACCUAUCCAACGUUCCAUCGUAGGACUCCGACUUUGACAACCAAAUGAGCCGGUGGGCCAGAUCAGGUUGAGAUGAAAAGGUGUGGUGAAAUUUUUUUAAUGGCUGACAUGAGACUCAGUGCAAUCCCAAGUCCAAGAUGUGUCUGUUGAUGGCAAGGCAUUGUACUGCAGGGAUGCAGUUGAUUACUUGGUAACCCCUAUUAAGUGCUGAAAAUUUAAAAUUGGAGUGGUUUCUGCUGCAUUUUAUGGCACGUUAAAUUACCACUUAAGUUAAUUUUUUUUUUUCUUUUUGUUUUUUUGAAAAUGGUAUCAAUUUUUACUUAUCGCCAGGCUGUUGUGGUAGGUAGUUCCUAAAUUAAAUUGACAAAUUUAUCAUCAAGUUUAAAGUCUUUUAUGCGACUAGGACUAAAAUUUUCAGUUUUAUUUCAUUUUAGACGUGUUUUUUGCUUGUUGCCUUAUUGACAGUCUGGUAAAGAAUGCUUCCGCCAGCUGAUUUAGUUUCUACCCAUUUGAAUUCAGAAGAAAGAAGUAACAGAAGAGUCAUUUUGGAGCCAAUCGGAGGUAGAAAUUAGUAGGGUGAAAUUAUGGUCCCCUUGAACUACCAGGAUGAGAAGGGUCCUCUUUCUUAAGAAUGCAUUGCUAUUAUAGUGUUUCUGUAACAGACAGGAAUCACUAGGGGUGGAUUUUUUACUUCCACUUUGAACCUAUGAAACACGGAUACUUCAAAAAGGGAGACGUAUCCGUAUCGGAUACUUAUUGGAUACCUUGGAUACACGCGGAUAUGUAUCGGAUACUUCAUUAAUUUUUUUAUUAACUUUAGAGUAUCGGAUAUUUAAUUUUGGACUGUCGGAUACUUAAUUUUGAAGUAUCGGAUACUCGAAGUCACAUAUUACUUUUAAUACUUUGUUUGGUUUUUUGAUAAGAGGAAUAUAGUGAGAGUUAAAGUAA